UACGAAGGGGGCUAGCGUUGCUCGGAAUUACUGGGCGUAAAGGGUUCGUAGGCGGUGCGGUAAGUCGGAAGUGAAAUCUCUGGGCUUAACUCAGAGGCUGCUUUCGAAACUGCCGUGCUGGAGUGCGGGAGAGGCGAGUGGAAUUGCAGGUGUAGCGGUGAAAUGCGUAGAUAUCUGCAGGAACACCCGUGGCGAAGGCGGCUCGCUGGACCGCAACUGACGCUGAGGAACGAAAGCUAGGGGAGCAAACAGG
RNAcentral lists this ribosomal RNA (253 nucleotides) under uncultured bacterium. Its description in RNAcentral is "partial 16S ribosomal RNA". It matches the Rfam family "Bacterial small subunit ribosomal RNA", at positions 524 to 776 of the family's 1533-position model. The record is from RNAcentral.